AACGGCCGCGGGAUCCUACACCGUGCAAAGGUAGCAUAAUCACUUGUCAUCUAAAUAAUGACUAGUAUGAACGGCCCUAUGAGGACUUCCCUGUCUCUCGUAAUUAAUCAAUGAAACUGAUCCCCCAGUACAAAAGCUGGGAUAAAAUCACAAGACGAAAAGACCCUGUGGAACUUAUAAGUACCAAUCAAUAAUAUGAUACAAGUACUUUUAGUUGGGGCAACUUUGGAACAAAACAAAACUUCCAAUAUAGGAUAUACUUACCCAAAACUAAGUCCACACACUAACUUUUAACCCACCAAUUGACCCAGUAUUACUGACAAAAGAAACAAGCUACCCCAGGGAUAACAGCGCCAUCCCCUCAUAGAGCCCAAAUCGACGAGCGGGGCUUACGACCUCGAUGUUGGAUCAGGGCCCCCAAACAGUGCAGCAGCUGUUAAAGGUUUGUUUGUUCAACAACUAAUG
This 465-nucleotide ribosomal RNA is filed under the name Aspidoscelis inornatus (Little striped whiptail). Its description in RNAcentral is "partial 16S ribosomal RNA". It matches the Rfam family "Bacterial large subunit ribosomal RNA", at positions 1926 to 2593 of the family's 2925-position model. Lineage: Eukaryota; Metazoa; Chordata; Lepidosauria; Squamata; Teiidae. The record is from RNAcentral.